Molecule: ribosomal RNA, 253 nt
Filed under: uncultured bacterium
Lineage: Bacteria
Description: partial 16S ribosomal RNA
Rfam family: Bacterial small subunit ribosomal RNA
Source: RNAcentral
UACGUAGGGGGCAAGCGUUAUCCGGAUUUACUGGGUGUAAAGGGAGCGUAGACGGCCAGACAAGUCUAAAGUGAAAAUCCAGCGCUUAACGUUGGAAGUGCUUUGGAAACUGCCGGGCUAGAGUGCAGGAGGGGCAGGCGGAAUUCCUAGUGUAGCGGUGAGAUGCGUAGAUAUUAGGAGGAACACCAGUGGCGAAGGCGGCCUGCUGGACUGCAACUGACGUUGAGGCUCGAAGGCGUGGGGAGCAAACAGG